UACGUAGGGUGCGAGCGUUGUCCGGAAUUAUUGGGCGUAAAGAGCUCGUAGGCGGUUUGGUAAGUUGGAUGUGAAAUCUCCAGGCUCAACUUGGAGGGGUCAUUCGAUACUGCCAUGACUAGAGUUCGGUAGGGGAGUGUGGAAUUCCUGGUGUAGCGGUGAAAUGCGCAGAUAUCAGGAGGAACACCGGUGGCGGAGGCGGGUCUCUGGGCCGAUACUGACGCUGAGGAGCGAAAGCGUGGGGAGCGAACAGG
This 254-nucleotide ribosomal RNA is filed under the name uncultured bacterium. Its description in RNAcentral is "partial 16S ribosomal RNA". It matches the Rfam family "Bacterial small subunit ribosomal RNA", at positions 524 to 776 of the family's 1533-position model. The record is from RNAcentral.